This 168-nucleotide ribosomal RNA is filed under the name Ambassis urotaenia (banded-tail glassy perchlet). RNAcentral describes it as "partial small subunit ribosomal RNA". The record is from RNAcentral. Lineage: Eukaryota; Metazoa; Chordata; Actinopteri; Ambassidae.
CACCGCGGCUAUACGGGCGACUCAAGUUGAUGAAUACCGGCGUAAAGCGUGGUUAGGAAAAUUACAAACUAAAGCCGAAUGCUCCCCCUGCUGUCAUACGCACUCGAGAGAAAGAAGCCCGAUUACGAAAGUAGCUUUACCCUUUCCGACCCCACGAAAGCUGUGAAA